RNAcentral lists this ribosomal RNA (119 nucleotides) under Beta vulgaris subsp. vulgaris (sugar beet). Lineage: Eukaryota; Viridiplantae; Streptophyta; Magnoliopsida; Caryophyllales; Amaranthaceae. The record is from RNAcentral.
AGGUGCAAUCAUACCAAAACUAAUACAGUGGAUCCCAUCAGAACUCCGUAGUUAAGCGUGCUUGGUCGAGAGUAGUACUAGGAUGGGAGACCUCCUCGGAAGUCCUCGUAUUGGACCCC